AUGCAGAAAACAAUAACCGACAGCUCUAAGAAUCCUGAACACUUGGACCAGAUUGCAUUCAGCUCAUUGUUUUGCUAUCCAGAAACUAAGAGACACUUAUUUGUGACUGCAUUUCGUCCAGAAUGGGGCUUCCCCCAAAGCUCAAUAGAUACUACAGUUACCAACCACAGCGUUUUUCAAAUCCUGAUAAUACAUGCCAAAAAUUUAACAUAUUGAAAGGAAACAAAUAAG
Molecule: long non-coding RNA, 231 nt
Filed under: Ovis aries (sheep)
Lineage: Eukaryota; Metazoa; Chordata; Mammalia; Artiodactyla; Bovidae
Description: lncRNA (ENSOARG00000026827.1)
Source: RNAcentral